GAUGAACGCUGGCGGCGUGCUUAACACAUGCAAGUCGAACGGGGAAGGCGGAGCUUGCUCUGCUGGAUCAGUGGCGAACGGGUGAGUAACACGUGAGCAAUCUGCCCCUGACUCUGGGAUAAGCGCUGGAAACGGCGUCUAAUACUGGAUACGAGCUGCGAAGGCAUCUUCAGCAGCUGGAAAGAAUUUCGGUCAGGGAUGAGCUCGCGGCCUAUCAGCUUGUUGGUGAGGUAAUGGCUCACCAAGGCGUCGACGGGUAGCCGGCCUGGGAGGGUGACCGGCCACACUGGGACUGAGCCACGGCCCAGACUCCUACGGGAGGCAGCAGUGGGGAAUAUUGCACAGUGGGCGAAAGCCUGAUGCAGCAACGCCGCGUGAGGGACGACGGCCUUCGGGUUGUAAACCUCUUUUAGCAGGGAAGAAGCGAAAGUGACGGUACCUGCAGAAAAAGCGCCGGCUAACUACGUG
This 468-nucleotide ribosomal RNA is filed under the name uncultured bacterium. RNAcentral's name for it is "partial 16S ribosomal RNA". It matches the Rfam family "Bacterial small subunit ribosomal RNA", at positions 28 to 507 of the family's 1533-position model. The record is from RNAcentral.